Melospiza melodia melodia is the source of this 256-nucleotide long non-coding RNA. RefSeq lists it as uncharacterized. NCBI's taxonomy places the organism in Eukaryota, Metazoa, Chordata, Aves, Passeriformes, Passerellidae. The record is from RefSeq and is a predicted model, not a curated record. The transcript has 3 exons.
AACAUACACACCAGGAUGCCUACCAUGCUCUAAGGUAAAGAGCCCAGACUUUGGUCUGAACUGAACCUCCAUGGUGAACAAGCACCGAGUCCUUUACCCAUAUAAUGGUAAACACUCCUAUCCUGUGAAUCCAAAGGAUCUGGCCCCAAACCUUCACCCUGAAUAAUUCAUGAGGACAGAAGUGACUGGAAAACCAGGCUCCAACCAAUUUGAUGGAGGAGGAAUACCAAAAGGUGCAAAAGGGUACACAAGAUGU